UCCAGCAGGGUUAGGUGCAAUACCACAGUAGAUGGGAGUCUUCAGAGAUUUCCUUCCUUAAGCUCUUGUGCUAGCUCCCUGCCUGGAUUCACACACAGCAGGAUAAUCUUAUAAUCAUAGCUGCUCCAUUUUCAUUCCACUGCUUUGAAAUCUUGAAACCAUGGAUGUCGAUACCCACAGAAAAGGGCAUGUUUGUGUUUGUUCCCAGGAAGAAAAUGAAGUUCAAUGAAUGGCUCCCUGAACAUUUGAUGCAGUGUGUGCAGCAGAGGAAUGCCAGCCCUAAUGACAUGAUUGCUGUGGAGGCCCUCCCAGAGGAGUUCAAGUGAAACUUGCUGAACCUGUGUUCUUGACCCUCUGAUGUCAUCAUUCUGUAGUUCUUGAAGGGAAGGAGAUUGUGAUGAUGAAUGGCUCCCACAAAAAAGGGUGUCAAGAAGAAGAAGGGCCGUUCUGCCAUUAACGAGGUGGUGACCCAAGACGAGAAUACACCAUCAGCAUUCACAAGUGUAUCCAUGGCGUGGGCUUCAAGAAGUGUGCUCCUCCGGCACGCAAAGAAAUCCAGAAAUUUGCCAUGAAGGAGAUGGGGACUCCAGAUGUGUGCAUUGAUACCAGGCUCAAUAAAGCCGUCUGAGCCAAAGGAAUAAGAAAUAUGUCAUACCGUAUCCGUGUAUGUUUGUCCAGAAAACGUAACACAGAUGAGGACUCACCAAACAAGCUGUACACAUUGGUAACCUGUGUGCCUGUUACCACAUUCAAAAAUCUACAGUCAAUGUGGAUGAGAACUAACCUGCUGAGUGUCAAAUAAAGUUGGAGAACUG
This 815-nucleotide long non-coding RNA is filed under the name Cricetulus griseus (Chinese hamster). Its description in RNAcentral is "lncRNA (ENSCGRG00015038900.1)". Lineage: Eukaryota; Metazoa; Chordata; Mammalia; Rodentia; Cricetidae. The record is from RNAcentral.